GCCGAGGUGGCGGAAUUGGCAGACGCGCAAGAUUCAGGUUCUUGUGAUCUGUUUAGAUCGUACGGGUUCAAGUCCCGUCCUCGGCACUA
RNAcentral lists this transfer RNA (89 nucleotides) under Thermotoga sp. RNAcentral's name for it is "tRNA-Leu". It matches the Rfam family "tRNA". From Rfam's summary of the family: Transfer RNA (tRNA) molecules are approximately 80 nucleotides in length. The record is from RNAcentral. Lineage: Bacteria; Thermotogati; Thermotogota; Thermotogae; Thermotogales; Thermotogaceae.